This 405-nucleotide ribosomal RNA is filed under the name uncultured bacterium. RNAcentral's name for it is "partial 16S ribosomal RNA". It matches the Rfam family "Bacterial small subunit ribosomal RNA", at positions 30 to 526 of the family's 1533-position model. The record is from RNAcentral.
AUUGAACGCUAGCGGGUUGCUUUACACAUGCAAGUCGAACGAGUGGCGGACGGGUGAGUAAUAUAUCGGAACGUGCCCAGUAGCGGGGGAUAACUACUCGAAAGAGUGGCUAAUACCGCAUAUUAUUGGAGCGGCCGAUAUCGGUGUAGCCAGUUGGUGGGGUAAAGGCUCACCAAGGCAACGAUCCGUAGCUGGUUUUAGAGGACGACCAGCCGCACUGGGACUGAGACACGGCCCAGACUCCUACGGGAGGCAGCAGUAGGGAAUGUGGGGCAAUGGGGGGAACCCUGAUCCAGCCGUGCCGCGUGUAUGAGAAGGCCUUCGGGUUGUAAAGUACUUUUGGCAGAGAAGCGGUAUCUGCAGAAUAAGCACCGGCUAACUACGUGCCAGCCGCCGCGGUAAUUC